RNAcentral lists this ribosomal RNA (486 nucleotides) under uncultured bacterium. RNAcentral describes it as "partial 16S ribosomal RNA". It matches the Rfam family "Bacterial small subunit ribosomal RNA", at positions 899 to 1397 of the family's 1533-position model. The record is from RNAcentral.
ACUCAAAUGAAUUGACGGGGGCCCGCACAAGCGGCGGAGCGUGCGGUUUAAUUCGACGCGACGCGCAGAACCUUACCUGGGUUUGACAUGUCCCUGCAGAGCCCUGAAAGGGGUUGGCCUUCGAGGGUGGGGCACAGGUGCUGCAUGGCUGUCGUCAGCUCGUGUCGUGAGAUGUUGGGUUAAGUCCCGCAACGAGCGCAACCCCCGCGGCCAGUUGCCAGAUGUUUCUGGCCGGACCGCCGGUAGCAAGCCGGAGGAAGGUGGGGAUGACGUCAAGUCAGCAUGGCCCUUACAUCCAGGGCAACACGCACGCUACAAUGGCCGGGACAGAGGGUCGCCAAGUCGUGAGGCGGAGCGAAUCCCACAAACCCGGUCUCAGUUCGGAUCGUGGGCUGCAACUCGCCCACGUGAAGGUGGAGUCGCUAGUAACCGCAGGUCAGCAUUACUGCGGUGAAUACGUUCCCGGGCCUUGUACACACCGCCCGU